Molecule: long non-coding RNA, 279 nt
Filed under: Sus scrofa (pig)
Lineage: Eukaryota; Metazoa; Chordata; Mammalia; Artiodactyla; Suidae
Description: lncRNA (ENSSSCG00070009397.1)
Source: RNAcentral
CAUAAGGUACUUUGUUCAUGCCUAUCAAAACACACAAACUAGAAGGAGUCAUAACCUUGGCAAAACUUGGGUACCAUGGCUUUGUUGUUGGACCAAUGAUGUGUGGAUGGACUAUUUCUUGUUCUGGAAGGAAGCAAACAGUGGUACAGGACACAUUGAGAAAAGACUCCAAGGAUGAUGCAGGAUGGUGAGGGAAUCCAUCUGAGCCCAGGAGUGGAAACAAUGGGCAGAUGGCAAAGGAGACACCCUUAAAAGGUAAUAAAAAGAACGGCAGCCACA